CUCUCUCUCACACACACACACACACACACACACACACACACACACAGAGAACCAGUCACCACCAAAUCUCACCUCACUGAAGUCAGUCACCACUGUUGCUCACCGUAAGUCGCACAUCGCCACCGCCACAGCCGCAAAUCACACCACCACCACCGCAAUACAAACAGUUUGUGGCUAGAGCGAGUGCGUCAUUUCUUCAGCCUAAAGCCAGACAACCGGUCAUGAAUUUUAUUGUUACAACUUAAGAAUUGCUGCUUAUAAGGCUAUAUAUCCAAGCGUGGGGACUCUCACAGAUGCGGUUGCUGCAAUUGAUCAAGUAAAGAACUUUUCUUAUCCAUCCAUAUAUGUUAUGGUCUUGUUUGAUAUUGGGAUAUAUAGAGAGGAAUAUAUUUUUUUGAUUGGAUAUAGGGGAUAAAGAAAAACAUAUGGAUCUCACAUUUUUUAUAUCAUUUGUUUGGUUAUCCGAUAUGAAUCUGAUGAUGAUGUAUUAUAUCCUCCAAAAGUAAAUGAUAUGUAAUACUAACUCCCUAUGAUAUUACUGAUCCCGUACCAAAA
Camellia sinensis is the source of this 555-nucleotide non-coding RNA. NCBI's taxonomy places the organism in Eukaryota, Viridiplantae, Streptophyta, Magnoliopsida, Ericales, Theaceae. The record is from RefSeq and is a predicted model, not a curated record.